RNAcentral lists this ribosomal RNA (718 nucleotides) under Bacillus subtilis. RNAcentral describes it as "bacterial SSU rRNA". It matches the Rfam family "Bacterial small subunit ribosomal RNA", at positions 48 to 748 of the family's 1533-position model. Lineage: Bacteria; Bacillati; Bacillota; Bacilli; Caryophanales; Bacillaceae. The record is from RNAcentral.
CUAAUACAUGCAAGUCGAGCGGACAGAUGGGAGCUUGCUCCCUGAUGUUAGCGGCGGACGGGUGAGUAACACGUGGGUAACCUGCCUGUAAGACUGGGAUAACUCCGGGAAACCGGGGCUAAUACCGGAUGGUUGUUUGAACCGCAUGGUUCAAACAUAAAAGGUGGCUUCGGCUACCACUUACAGAUGGACCCGCGGCGCAUUAGCUAGUUGGUGAGGUAACGGCUCACCAAGGCAACGAUGCGUAGCCGACCUGAGAGGGUGAUCGGCCACACUGGGACUGAGACACGGCCCAGACUCCUACGGGAGGCAGCAGUAGGGAAUCUUCCGCAAUGGACGAAAGUCUGACGGAGCAACGCCGCGUGAGUGAUGAAGGUUUUCGGAUCGUAAAGCUCUGUUGUUAGGGAAGAACAAGUACCGUUCGAAUAGGGCGGUACCUUGACGGUACCUAACCAGAAAGCCACGGCUAACUACGUGCCAGCAGCCGCGGUAAUACGUAGGUGGCAAGCGUUGUCCGGAAUUAUUGGGCGUAAAGGGCUCGCAGGCGGUUUCUUAAGUCUGAUGUGAAAGCCCCCGGCUCAACCGGGGAGGGUCAUUGGAAACUGGGGAACUUGAGUGCAGAAGAGGAGAGUGGAAUUCCACGUGUAGCGGUGAAAUGCGUAGAGAUGUGGAGGAACACCAGUGGCGAAGGCGACUCUCUGGUCUGUAACUGACGCUG